RNAcentral lists this ribosomal RNA (529 nucleotides) under uncultured bacterium. RNAcentral describes it as "partial 16S ribosomal RNA". It matches the Rfam family "Bacterial small subunit ribosomal RNA", at positions 355 to 878 of the family's 1533-position model. The record is from RNAcentral.
UGGGGAAUUUUGGACAAUGGGCGAAAGCCUGAUCCAGCAAUGCCGCGUGUGUGAAGAAGGCCUUCGGGUUGUAAAGCACUUUUGUCCGGAAAGAAAUCCUUGGCUCUAAUACAGUCGGGGGAUGACGGUACCGGAAGAAUAAGCACCGGCUAACUACGUGCCAGCAGCCGCGGUAAUACGUAGGGUGCAAGCGUUAAUCGGAAUUACUGGGCGUAAAGCGUGCGCAGGCGGUUUGCUAAGACCGAUGUGAAAUCCCCGGGCUAACCUGGGAACUGCAUUGGUGACUGGCAGGCUAGAGUAUGGCAGAGGGGGGUAGAAUUCCACGUGUAGCAGUGAAAUGCGUAGAGAUGUGGAGGAAUACCGAUGGCGAAGGCAGCCCCCUGGGCCAAUACUGACGCUCAUGCACGAAAGCGUGGGGAGCAAAACAGGAUUAGUACCCUGGUAGUCCACGCCCUAAACGAUGUCAACUAGUUGUUGGGGAUUCAUUUCCUUAGUAACGUAGCUAACGCGUGAAGUUGACCGCCUGGGG